RNAcentral lists this ribosomal RNA (254 nucleotides) under uncultured bacterium. Its description in RNAcentral is "partial 16S ribosomal RNA". It matches the Rfam family "Bacterial small subunit ribosomal RNA", at positions 524 to 776 of the family's 1533-position model. The record is from RNAcentral.
UACAGAGGGUGCAAGCGUUAAUCGGAAUUACUGGGCGUAAAGAGCUCGUAGGCGGUGUGUCGCGUCGGCCGUGAAAACCUGCAGCUUAACUGUGGGCUUGCGGUCGAUACGGGCAUCACUGGAGUUCGGCAGGGGAGACUGGAAUUCCUGGUGUAGCGGUGAAAUGCGCAGAUAUCAGGAGGAACACCGGUGGCGAAGGCGGGUCUCUGGAGAGUUCCUGACGCUGAGGCACGAAGGCCAGGGGAGCAAACGGG